This 317-nucleotide long non-coding RNA is filed under the name Gossypium barbadense (sea-island cotton). Its description in RNAcentral is "long non-coding RNA (GBAR_LNC009925)". Lineage: Eukaryota; Viridiplantae; Streptophyta; Magnoliopsida; Malvales; Malvaceae. The record is from RNAcentral.
UUCUUCCGAUGUCUGAAGCAUUGCUCUCAGCUUUCCAGUAACCAACUUGCAAUCAAACAAUUGUUCUCUUGCUUUGGAUAGAACUUUACCCAUUUCUUUAAUUUUCUCAGAUGCACUAAACAAAGUUGCAUGAGAACACAAAAAAAGGAACUGCCAGAAUCAAUAAGAGCAAAAACAGAGGUAACAUAGACCACAUAGCCAAUGAGAUUCAGGAUUGAGUAUCCUUUACCUGUGAGGUAGACCGGAAUCAGCCGUUGACUCUCCUAAGGCCUGCUGAAUCUCUUUCAGCCUAAUUUGCAAUUCUUUUUGCAAGUCAA